RNAcentral lists this ribosomal RNA (722 nucleotides) under uncultured bacterium. RNAcentral describes it as "bacterial SSU rRNA". It matches the Rfam family "Bacterial small subunit ribosomal RNA", at positions 14 to 727 of the family's 1533-position model. The record is from RNAcentral.
UGAUCAUGGCUCAGAUUGAACGCUGGCGGCAGGCCUAACACAUGCAAGUCGAGCGGUAACAGGGGAAGCUUGCUUCUCGCUGACGAGCGGCGGACGGGUGAGUAAUGUAUGGGGAUCUGCCCGAUAGAGGGGGAUAACCACUGGAAACGGUGGCUAAUACCGCAUAAUCUCUUAGGAGCAAAGCAGGGGAACUUCGGUCCUUGCGCUAUCGGAUGAACCCAUAUGGGAUUAGCUAGUAGGUGGGGUAAUGGCUCACCUAGGCGACGAUCCCUAGCUGGUCUGAGAGGAUGAUCAGCCACACUGGGACUGAGACACGGCCCAGACUCCUACGGGAGGCAGUAGUGGGGAAUAUUGCACAAUGGGCGCAAGCCUGAUGCAGCCAUGCCGCGUGUAUGAAGAAGGCCCUAGGGUUGUAAAGUACUUUCAGUCGGGAGGAAGGCGUUGAUGCUAAUAUCAUCAACGAUUGACGUUACCGACAGAAGAAGCACCGGCUAACUCCGUGCCAGCAGCCGCGGUAAUACGGAGGGCGCAAGCGUUAAUCGGAAUUACUGGGCGUAAAGCGCACGCAGGCGGUUGAUUAAGUUAGAUGUGAAAUCCCCGGGCUUAACCUGGGAAUGGCAUCUAAGACUGGUCAGCUAGAGUCUUGUAGAGGGGGGUAGAAUUCCAUGUGUAGCGGUGAAAUGCGUAGAGAUGUGGAGGAAUACCGGUGGCGAAGGCGGCCC